GAGGAGGAGCCCCAGGAGGUCCACGAGAUGGAUACCCCUGCUACAAACACCCGCUCCAAGAUGAAGGCGAACGGGACCACACCGACAGCCACACUCCCCUAGUUCUGUUGAUGCCUACCAGAUUUAUCUUUUCUUUUUGUUAUCAGUGUUGCGAGUUAGUCAUUGACCAUACAAUCUAUGUGUAUGGCAAUGUAGGUAGAUUGCUUUUUUCCUCGUACUCUUUUCUUUAUAGGCAAUGUCCCACCAUAAACAAGUUUUUUUUUUUUCAAAACCUUUUAUGAUUGAUGAGUGGAUGAUUGAUAUAUGCUUGAGUUAUAUCUUGUUUGGGGGUUUAGUUAUCCUUAACUCUAUUCUAUCUGUUUCCUCAUCUAUGCUACCCUAAACAGAUGCCUCCGAGACGCCGGAACCCUGCCAACAACGCCGACGCAGAAGGGAAUGCUGCCAUCAUGCAGCAGUUAUUGGCUGCCCAGACCCAAUUCUUCCAGAUGAUCACCCAACAGUUGGCCAACAACAACAACAACAACAACCAGCAGCACC
RNAcentral lists this long non-coding RNA (537 nucleotides) under Brachypodium distachyon (stiff brome). Its description in RNAcentral is "long non-coding RNA (BDIS_LNC001898)". The record is from RNAcentral. Lineage: Eukaryota; Viridiplantae; Streptophyta; Magnoliopsida; Poales; Poaceae.